AAGCGCUUAGAGUUAGCCAUGCGGCCGGAACUCAGCCUUCGGGUGUACUUUCCGGUCGCAAGCCAGCAUUGAUUUGUGCCGCUGGAGAAGGGCGCUGGGAAUGUGGCAUCUCCGGGUGUGUUAUAGCCCAGUGCUGGAUACAGCGGCGCGGAUCAAGGAACGCAGCACGCCUCAUGGCGGGUCUUCGGACACCUUCGUGCUUAGGAUGCUGGCGUAAUGGCUCUAAGCGG
This 230-nucleotide ribosomal RNA is filed under the name Malasseziales sp. RNAcentral describes it as "partial large subunit ribosomal RNA". The record is from RNAcentral. Lineage: Eukaryota; Fungi; Basidiomycota; Malasseziomycetes; Malasseziales.